ACAAGCUAAUUAAAAAAAAAUAGCAGACUGUCAAUUAAAGUAGAGCACACACCUUCUUAAGAGGAGCUGAAAAAAUGAAAAGAAACCCAAGGCUAGAGAAAAUGAGAGGUUCGAUGGGCAGUUUAUAUUCGCAAGAUUCGCAAUAGAUCAGCAGUCCACGCAAACCAAGUCGAUUGAACACCAAAAUCUAGAGAAAAAGCAAGACAAAAC
This is a non-coding RNA of Schizosaccharomyces pombe (fission yeast), 210 nucleotides long. The record is from the annotation of a GenBank genome assembly. NCBI's taxonomy places the organism in Eukaryota, Fungi, Ascomycota, Schizosaccharomycetes, Schizosaccharomycetales, Schizosaccharomycetaceae.